CAGCGUGCGUGACUGCUGGAUUUACACGCAAUGCCGUAAGCAGUAUGACACCACACCCUUCUCU
Molecule: small nucleolar RNA, 64 nt
Organism: Trypanosoma cruzi
Lineage: Eukaryota; Euglenozoa; Kinetoplastea; Trypanosomatida; Trypanosomatidae
Source: RefSeq, a predicted model, not a curated record